CCAGGGAUCGAGCCUGUGUCCUCAUGGAUACUAGUCUGGUUCGUUUCCGCAGAGCCACGAGAACUCCCAAAUUUACAACCUUUUAAUUGCCGAGAUUGGGAAUAGGAAAAGCGUCAUUUUUUUUUUUUUAUUUUCCCACUGUACAGCAAGGGGAUCAAGUUAUCCUUACAUGUAUACAUUACAAUUACAGUUUUUCCCCCACCAUUUCUUCUGUUGCAACAUGAGUAUCUAGACAAAGUUCUCAAUGCUACUCAGCAGGAUCUCCUUGUACAUCUAUUCUAAGUUGUGUCUGAUAAGCCCAGGCUCCUGAUCCCUUCCACUCCCUCCCCCUCCUAUCAGGUAGCCACAAGUCUUUUCUCCAAGUCCAUGAUUUUCUUUUCUGAGGAGGUGUUCAUUUGUGCUGGAUAUUAGAUUCCAGUUAUAAGUGAUAUCAUAUGGUAUUUGUCUUUGUCUUUCUGGCUCAUUUCACUCAGUGUGAGAUUCUCUAGUUCCAUCCAUGUUGCUGCAAAUGGCCUUAUGUCAUCCUUUUUGAUGGCUGAGUAGUAUUCCAUUGUGUAUAUAUACCACCUCUUCCAAAUCCAAUCCUCUGUCGAUGGACAUUUGGAUUGUUUCCAUGUCCUGGCUAUUGUGAAUAGUGCUGCAAUGAACAUGCGGGUGCAUGUGUCUCUUUUAAGUAGAGUUUUGUCCGGAUAGAUGCCCAAGAGUGGGAUUGUAGGGUCAUAUGGAAGUUGUAUGUAUAGAUUUCUAAGGUAUCUCCAAACUGUUCUCCCUAGUGGCUGUACCAGUUUACAUUCCAUGUUUAUAUAGCACUAACGCCACGUGAAUACUGAAACUUCAGGUCAGUCCCUUUUAAAACUUUCUAAGGACAAAGUGGCUUCUCUCUACCCUUUUUUCUUUUCUUUGAGGAACAGACUUAGAAAACACAUAGCUUACCCAUCUCAGAUGAAGUUACUCUCCAGUAAUUUCCAAUCAUUUGAGUUUUUGGUUUUGUGUAAUUUAAAACUUUUGGAUUUUUAUUUUAUUUUAUUUUUAUUUAUUUAUUUAUUUUUGUCUUUUUUGCCAUUUCUUGGGCUGCUCCCGUGGCACAUGGAUGUUUGCAGGCUAGGGGUCGAAUUGGAACUGUAGCCACUGGCCUACACCACAGCCACAGCAACGUGGGAUCCGAGCCAUGUCUUCGACUUACACCACAGCUCACGGCAACACCACAUCCUUAACCCACUGAGCAAGGCCAGGGAUCGAACCCGCAACCUCAUGGUUCCUAAUCAGAUUCGUUAACCACUUAGCCAGGAUGGGAACUCCCAAACUUUUGGAUUUUUAAAUCGAGCACAAAAAAGUAAACAUUGACAGAGCAAACGUUUAUCACAAGGAGGAUAUCUAUACAAUUCUCUGCCAGCAGUUCCCUUAUGCUGAAGUUCCCUUAUGUUCCCUGCAUUGGUAACCUCUCUUUCCUGCUCCCCACUGCAGUAACUGCUGUCCUCAUUUUUAUGGUGGAUACUUUCUUUUAAUGGCUUUAUUGACUAAGCAUUUAUCUCUAAACGCCAGUGUAAAUUUGUAAAAUUUUUGAACCUGGUAUGAAUAAAAUCUUACAGCACAAUUUUUUUACUGCGUUCUUUCAUUUGACAUUAUGUUUGUGAGGUUCUUUUAUGUUGUAUAUAGCUGUAAUGCAUUCCUUUUCACUGUAACAUUCAUGUUUUAUUGUACAAAUAUACUGUAUUUAUCUUUACUGUGAAUGGAUAUUAGGUUGCUUCCAGUCCGGAGCUGUUAAAAAUGUAAGGCUGUGAGCUUAGUUGUCCAUGUCUCUUGUGCAUGUAUGUGGGCAUUUCUGUUGGGUGUGUAUCUGGAAGUAAAAUUGCUGGUUCUUAGGUUCUGUGUCUCUUGAAGAGGUAAUGCUAUUUUACUAAAAUAGUUGUAUUUUGGAGUUCCUAUCGUGGCUCAGUGGUAACGAAUCCGACCAGGAACCAUGAGGGUGCAGGUUCGAUCCCUGGCCUCGUUCAGUGACUUAAGGGUCCAGCAUUGCUGUGAACUGUGGUGUAGGUCGUAGACGCAGCUCAGAUCCCAUGUUGCUGUGGCCGUGGUGUAAGCCAGCAGCUGUAGCUCUGAUUUGACUCCUAGCCUGGAAACUUCAUAUGCCAUGGGUAUGGCCCUAAAAAGACCAAAAAAAAAAAAAAAAGAAAAAAGAAAAAGUUGUAUUUGUAUUCUCACUAGUAGCACUUACGUUUCACCUACUCCACAUCUUUGUCAGUACUUACUGUGAGUCUUUCAUUUUCGUCAUUCUGGCGGAAGUGUGUGGAUUUCUCAUUUUAUUGGCAUUUUUCUGAGUACCAAUGAGAUUGAACGUGUUUUUACAUGUUUUUUGGCCAUUUUCUUUUGUGAAAUAUCUUUUCACGUAGCUUACCCAUUUUUCUGGGUUAUCUGUCCUUUGUGGGUGUCCUUUCUUAAAGUAUUUUGAUAUAAACCUUUUUUGUCAGAUAUACACAUAAGGUUUCUGGAGGUCUUUUGGCCCUGCCCAUGGCACAUGGAAGUUCUAGGCGAGGGAUUGAACCUGUGCCAUAGCAGCACCCCAAGCCACUGCAGUGACAACACCAGAUCCUUAACCCGCUGUGCCACAGAAGAACUCCAGGUUUGUUUUUUAAUCAGAAUUUUUAAGUAAUUAUAAAAACUAUUCAAAUCUAUAUUUCUUUUUUAACUCAUAACUGCUGUGUUUGUAUAACGCGGUCAUAAAGAAAAAUAACUCACUAAUAUAAUAAAAAUGGCUAAUAUUGGAGUUCCCGUCGUGGCGCAGUAGUUAACAAAUCCGACUAGGAACCAUGAGGUUGCGGGUUCAAUCCCUGGCCUUGCUCAGUGGGUUAAGGAUCCGGCAUUGCCAUGAGCUGUGGUGUAGGUUGCAGCGUGGCUUGGAUCCCACAUUGCUAUGGCUCUGGCAUAGGCCAGUGGCUACAGCUCCAAUUCAGUCCCUAGCCUGGGAACCUCCAUAUGCCGUGGGAGCAGCCCUAGAAA
Molecule: long non-coding RNA, 2997 nt
Filed under: Sus scrofa (pig)
Lineage: Eukaryota; Metazoa; Chordata; Mammalia; Artiodactyla; Suidae
Description: lncRNA (ENSSSCG00005012343.1)
Source: RNAcentral